AUUGAACGCUGGCGGCAUGCCUUACACAUGCAAGUCGAACGGCAGCACGGGAGCAAUCCUGGUGGCGAGUGGCGAACGGGUGAGUAAUACAUCGGAACGUGCCCAGUAGUGGGGGAUAGCCCGGCGAAAGCCGGAUUAAUACCGCAUACGACCUAUGGGUGAAAGCGGGGGAUCGCAAGACCUCGCGCUAUUGGAGCGGCCGAUGGCAGAUUAGCUUGUUGUGGGUAAAAGCCUACCAAGGCGACGAUCUGUAGCUGGUCUGAGAGGACGACCAGCCACACUGGGACUGAGACACGGCCCAGACUCCUACGGGAGGCAGCAGUGGGGAAUUUUGGACAAUGGGCGCAAGCCUGAUCCAGCCAUGCCGCGUGCGGGAAGAAGGCCUCGGUUGUAACGACUUUGUCUAGGAAGAACGACGCUGAGCGUAAUAUACUCGG
Molecule: ribosomal RNA, 437 nt
Filed under: uncultured bacterium
Lineage: Bacteria
Description: bacterial SSU rRNA
Rfam family: Bacterial small subunit ribosomal RNA
Source: RNAcentral